Molecule: transfer RNA, 61 nt
Filed under: Haemopis sanguisuga
Lineage: Eukaryota; Metazoa; Annelida; Clitellata; Hirudinida; Haemopidae
Description: tRNA-Ile
Source: RNAcentral
UACACUAAGCCGGAUUUACGGAUAACAUUGAUGUCGUUAAAUAUGAGUUUUUCUAGUGUAU